AUACGGAGGAUGCGAGCGUUAUCCGGAUUCAUUGGGUUUAAAGGGUGCGCAGGCGGGCGUAUAAGUCAGGGGUGAAAUGCCACGGCUCAACCGUGGAACUGCCUUUGAUACUGUAUGUCUUGAGUUUAGUUGAAGUGGGCGGAAUGUAGCAUGUAGCGGUGAAAUGCAUAGAGAUGCUACAGAACACCGAUAGCGAAGGCAGCUCACUAAGUUAAAACUGACGCUCAUGCACGAAAGCGUGGGGAUCAAACAGGAUUAGAUACCCUGGUAGUCCACGCUGUAAACGAUGAUCACUCGUUGUUGGCGAUAUACCGUCAGCGGCCAAGCGAAAGUGAUAAGUGAUCCACCUGGGGAGUACGAUCGCAAGGUUGAA
RNAcentral lists this ribosomal RNA (373 nucleotides) under uncultured bacterium. RNAcentral's name for it is "bacterial SSU rRNA". It matches the Rfam family "Bacterial small subunit ribosomal RNA", at positions 523 to 898 of the family's 1533-position model. The record is from RNAcentral.